UGCUGCUACAGAAACUUCACCCACAGCUACCAUGACUUUGAUCCCCGUCUUCAUCUGGACACUGAUCCUCUGGACUCAAGAAUGCAGAGGUCAAGCAACAUUAACUCAGACUCCUGCAGUGAAAUCUGUUCUUCCAGGAGAAACAGUCACCAUCAACUGUAAAACCAGUCAGGCAGUGUACAAGGAUUCAAAUGGUGACUACUUGCACUGGUAUCAGCAGAAACCUGGAGAAGCUCCUAAACUCCUAAUUAAAUUUGGGGAUGUGCUACAUUCAGAUUUUUCAGCUCGUUUUAAGGGCAGUGGAUCUGGAUCUGAUUUCACUCUGACCAUCAGUGGAGUCCAGACUGAAGAUGCAGGAGAUUAUUACUGUCAGAGUUACCACAGCAUCUCUGGCUACUGGUUCACACAGUGAUAUAGAGUCGUACAAAAACCUCCCUCAGUCAGAUAGUAGAGAAACUGCACUGCUGCAGCUGGGAGCGACUGCAGGUGCUGAGUUGGAGGAUGUGAUACGACACAAUGACAC
This is a non-coding RNA of Silurus meridionalis, 523 nucleotides long. NCBI's taxonomy places the organism in Eukaryota, Metazoa, Chordata, Actinopteri, Siluriformes, Siluridae. The record is from the annotation of a RefSeq genome assembly.